RNAcentral lists this ribosomal RNA (242 nucleotides) under uncultured bacterium. RNAcentral describes it as "partial 16S ribosomal RNA". It matches the Rfam family "Bacterial small subunit ribosomal RNA", at positions 524 to 762 of the family's 1533-position model. The record is from RNAcentral.
GACAGAGGGUGCAAACGUUGCUCGGAAUCACUGGGCGUAAAGGGCGUGUAGGCGGGUAGAUAAGUCGGGCGUGAAAUCCCUAGGCUCAACCUAGGAACUGCACUCGAAACUGUUUAUCUUGAGUGCCGGAGAGGAAAGCGGAAUUCCUGGUGUAGAGGUGAAAUUCGUAGAUAUCAGGAGGAACACCAGUGGCGGAAGGCGGCUUUCUGGACGGUAACUGACGCAUGAGACGGCGAAAAGCG